GUUUCUGUAGAGCAAUGGAUAGCGCGUUGGACUUUUAAUCCAGUAGUCGUGGGUUCGAAUUCCACCCGGAAUG
Non-coding RNA from Trichonephila inaurata madagascariensis, 73 nucleotides. The record is from the annotation of a GenBank genome assembly. NCBI's taxonomy places the organism in Eukaryota, Metazoa, Arthropoda, Arachnida, Araneae, Nephilidae.